UUCCGGUUGAUCCCGCCGGACCUGACUGCUAUCGGAUUGAUACUAAGCCAUGCGAGUCUUUGCAGUAAUGCAAGGCAUACGGCUCGGUAACACGUAGUCAACCUACCCUAUGGACGAGAAUAAUCUCGGGAAACUGAGCAUAAUUCUUGAUAGAUCAUAAUGCCUGGAAUGGUUUAUGGUUAAAAUGAUUCGUCGCCAUAGGAUGGGACUGCGGCCUAUCAGCUUGUUGGUGAGGUAAUGGCCCACCAAGGCGAUUACAGGUACGGGCUCUGAGAGGAGAAGCCCGGAGAUGGGUACUGAGACACGGACCCAGGCCCUAUGGGGCGCAGCAGGCGAGAAAACUUUGCAAUGUGCGAAAGCACGACAAGGUUAAUCCGAGUGAUUUCUGCUAAAGAAAUCUUUUACCAGUCGUAAAACCGCUGGUGAAUAAGGGGUGGGCAAGUUCUGGUGUCAGCCGCCGCGGUAAAACCAGCACCUCAAGUGGUCAGGAUGAUUAUUGGGCCUAAAGCAUCCGUAGCCGGCUUUGUAAGUUUUCGGUUAAAUCCAUGUGCUCAACGCAUGGGCUGCCGAAAAUACUGCAUAGCUAGGGAGUGGAAGAGGUAGACGGUACUCAGUAGGUAGGGGUAAAAUCCUUUGAUCUAUUGAUGACCACCUGUGGCGAAGGCGGUCUACCAGAACACGUUCGACGGUGAGGGAUGAAAGCUGGGGGAGCAAACCGGAUUAGAUACCCGGGUAGUCCCAGCUGUAAACGAUGCAGACUCGAUGAUGCAUUGGCAUAAUAGCCAUUGCAGUGUCGCAGGGAAGCCGUUAAGUCUGCCGCCUGGGAAGUACGUACGCAAGUAUGAAACUUAAAGGAAUUGGCGGGGGAGCACCACAAGGGGUGAAGCCUGCGGUUCAAUUGGAAUCAACGCCGGAAAGGGCGAAUUCCACAGUGGAUAUCAAGCUUAUCGA
RNAcentral lists this ribosomal RNA (951 nucleotides) under uncultured archaeon. RNAcentral describes it as "bacterial SSU rRNA". It matches the Rfam family "Archaeal small subunit ribosomal RNA", at positions 1 to 965 of the family's 1478-position model. The record is from RNAcentral.